RNAcentral lists this ribosomal RNA (245 nucleotides) under uncultured bacterium. Its description in RNAcentral is "partial small subunit ribosomal RNA". It matches the Rfam family "Bacterial small subunit ribosomal RNA", at positions 26 to 285 of the family's 1533-position model. The record is from RNAcentral.
AGAAUCAACGCUGGCGGCGUGCCUAACACAUGCAAGUCGAACGAGAAAGUGGAGCAAUCCAUGAGUAAAGUGGCGCACGGGUGAGUAACACGUGACUAACCUACCCUCGAGUGGGGAAUAACUUCGGGAAACCGAGGCUAAUACCGCAUAAAACCUAAGGGUCGAAGGAGCAAUCCGUUUGAGGAGGGGGUCGCGGCAGAUUAGUUAGUUGGCGGGGUAAUGGCCCACCAAGACGAUGAUCUGUA